This 393-nucleotide ribosomal RNA is filed under the name uncultured bacterium. RNAcentral's name for it is "partial 16S ribosomal RNA". It matches the Rfam family "Bacterial small subunit ribosomal RNA", at positions 523 to 918 of the family's 1533-position model. The record is from RNAcentral.
AUACGGAGGAUGCGAGCGUUAUCCGGAUUUAUUGGGUUUAAAGAGAGCGUAGGUGGGAUAUUAAGUCAGCUGUGAAAGUUUGGGGCUCAACCUUAAAAUUGCAGUUGAUACUGGUUUCCUUGAGUACGGUAUAGGUGGGCGGAAUUCGUGGUGUAGCGGUGAAAUGCUUAGAUAUCACGAAGAACUCCGAUCGCGAAGGCAGCUCACCGGGCCGGAACUGACACUGAUGCUCGAAAGUGCGGGUAUCAAACAGGAUUAGAUACCCUGGUAGUCCGCACAGUAAACGAUGAAUACUCGCUGUUUGCGAUACACUGUAAGCGGCCAAGCGAAAGCGUUAAGUAUUCCACCUGGGGAGUACGCCGGCAACGGUGAAACUCAAAUGAAUUGACGGGG